GCCAAAAAACCCAAAAUGAAACAAAAAAGUUCACAAAAACACGGAUUUUAUUUUGUGUUGGUUAAUUACUUCUGGGCAUGGAGUCUGGUUGCUAUAUCAGUGACGCCUUAUUGGAGGAAAAUAAAUUUUACUGUUUCAGUGGGUAUCAAUUGCAAAUAGCUCUUGAUUAUGGAUCAGGUUCAUGUCCACUUCCAUCUCGCAGUGCUGGGACUUCAUCUGGCUUGAUAUUCUGCAGGUCUUUUGCAUAAUGGCACAGUCUCUGUGAGUUUCUAUGCACACCAAUCCUUAUAUGUCUGGAAGCGUUCUUUGUGUUAUCCAUCUGGUCUGGCUUUUACAGUCUUUCAGCUUUCUGUUUUUAUACGCCCUUGAGCCUUGAGGAGAGGGCUUUGAUGGAGACAUCCUACUAAAGACUGAGUGCUCCAAAAACUUGGACCCUUUGCAUGUUGUCCAGUUGUGGAUCUCUGUGUUAACUCUCAAGUCAAGAAGACGCUUUUCUGAUGAGAGUUGAACAAGCCACUCACCUAUGGGUUAUAUGUCACUAGGAGUAAUUUUAUUACCAUGUUCCUUUAUAGUAAUAAUAAAUAAUAAUAACAACAACAACAACAUCUUUCCCCCUAGACUUUGUCUCAGGUUUUUGGCCACUUUAGCGGUAUUAAAUAUGUUUUCUUCUCCUAAAAUGGGCAUUAAACUCAAUUAAAAAAAAGUGGCUGGCUACUUCCAUAACAUUUGUAAUAGAACUGCACCAGUAUCUUCAGGAAAAUUGCUUUUAUAGGUUGCAGGGUUUGUUUAUAGGUGAUAUUGAUGAUUGCCUUUAUCUGAUAGUGUACAGAGUACCUUUCAGAACCAUGAAUGGUAGUUAAUCGGCGUUGAGCUUCUAGUUAGGCACCAGCUCUUAUUUUCUGUUUUUGAUAACAUAAGUGACUGUUGUCUUCUGCUGUAGCACCUUAUCAUCGGGUUUUGGAGAACGAUCAAUAGCCUCGGUUCCAUUUGUGUAGUUCCAUGGGACCCUUUGGCCAAUAACUUAAAAAAUAUAACCCAGUCCUGGCACCAGGGGUUGUGCUUGGUGGGGUAUCUAGCCACGUUUUGACUCCAUUUAGUUUCCUUUCCUGUAUGUAUGCAUUUUAAGAAGCUAGCACAGUAGUAGUUUCCCAUAAAUUUUUCAAAUGGCCUUUAAUGUUUGUCAAUCCUCCAUAUGCUACCUUCUUUACUCUCCUCUUUCGUUUCCCACUUAUUUAAUCCUCUUAUUCUGGUUUCCCAUUUAUCUCUCCAUGACAAUAUAUCUUAUUUCCCAUUCCUUGGGACAUCCCUUCCUUCCCACAUGGUCCCUUGCUACUUGUCUAAUUCUGUGGAUAUUUGGAUUAUAGCAUGCAAAUUGAAAACUUAAAAGCUGCAUCCAUAUGUAAGGCAGAAUAUAAUCUAUUUGCCUUUUGGGGUCUAGUUUAGCUUACUUGGGAUGAUUCAGAUUUUUUAGUUCCAUCCGUUUACCUUCAAAUACUGUAAUUUCAUUUUUCUCAAUGGCUGAGUAAUAGUCCAUUGUGUAAAUGUACCACAUUUUCAGUAUCCAUUUCUCAGUUCAUCAAUUCAGUCAUAGUGAGACUGUUUAAAAAUAUCUUUAAUUUAACAUAACAUGGGGUGGACUGUCGUGAUUGCCAUAAAGCAUGGCGUACAAGCAAAUUCCCCGAAACCCGGUGGAAAAGGUUCUAGUACUUUUAUUUAUUCAUAAACAGC
This 1728-nucleotide long non-coding RNA is filed under the name Mus musculus (house mouse). RNAcentral's name for it is "long non-coding RNA chr5:78005748-78007476". The record is from RNAcentral. Lineage: Eukaryota; Metazoa; Chordata; Mammalia; Rodentia; Muridae.